UGGGCGGAUCAGUGGCGAACGGGUGAGUAACACGUGAGUAACCUGCCCCAGACUCCGGGAUAAGCCUUGGAAACGAGGUCUAAUACUGGAUACGAGACGCCCCUGCAUGGGGAGUGUCUGGAAAGAUUUAUCGGUCUGGGAUGGACUCGCGGCCUAUCAGCUUGUUGGUGGGGUAAUGGCCUACCAAGGCGACGACGGGUAGCCGGCCUGAGAGGGCGACCGGCCACACUGGGACUGAGACUCGGCCCAGACUCCUACGGGAGGCAGCAGUGGGGAAUAUUGCACAAUGGGCGAAAGCCUGAUGCAGCGACGCCGCGUGAGGGAUGAAGGCCUUCGGGUUGUAAACCUCUUUCAGCAGGGAAGAAGCGCAAGUGACGGUACCUGCAGAAGAAGCGCCGGCUAACUACGUGCCAGCAGCCGCGGUAAUACGUAGGGCGCAAGCGUUGUCCGGAAUUAUUGGGCGUAAAGAGCUCGUAGGCGGUUUGUCGCGUCUGGUGUGAAAACUCAAGGCUCAACCUUGAGCUUGCAUCGGGUACGGGCAGACUAGAGUGCGGUAGGGGUGACUGGAAUUCCUGGUGUAGCGGUGGAAUGCGCAGAUAUCAUGAGGAACACCGAUGGCGAAAGCAUGUCACUGGGCCGCAACUGACGCUGAGGAGCGAAAGCAUGCGGAGCGAACAGGAUUAGAUACCCUGGUAG
Molecule: ribosomal RNA, 696 nt
Filed under: Oerskovia sp. KBS0722
Lineage: Bacteria; Bacillati; Actinomycetota; Actinomycetes; Micrococcales; Cellulomonadaceae
Description: bacterial SSU rRNA
Rfam family: Bacterial small subunit ribosomal RNA
Source: RNAcentral